Small nuclear RNA from Anolis carolinensis (green anole), 66 nucleotides. The record is from Ensembl. Lineage: Eukaryota; Metazoa; Chordata; Lepidosauria; Squamata; Anolidae.
CCAAGAAGAUUAGCAUGGCCACUGCACAAGGAUGACACACAAAUUCGUGAAGCAUUCCAUAUUUUU